GAAAGAUGAAAAGAACUUUGAAAAGAGAGUUAAACAGUACGUGAAAUUGUUGAAAGGGAAACGAUUGAAGCCAGUCGUACCUUCGGGUAAUCAGCCUUUCGGGUGCGAUUCUGUGGAGUGUGAGGAGUUUAACACCUUCAUGCUUUGCAUAUUUGUGCUCUUGGGUGUACUUGCCCGUGUGGUUGGUUAACAUCAAUUUUAAUUAUCAUAAAAUGACUGGAGGAAUGUAGCUUCGAUCUCGUAUUGAAGUGUUAUA
RNAcentral lists this ribosomal RNA (256 nucleotides) under uncultured Rhizophagus. RNAcentral describes it as "partial large subunit ribosomal RNA". It matches the Rfam family "Eukaryotic large subunit ribosomal RNA", at positions 359 to 630 of the family's 3401-position model. Lineage: Eukaryota; Fungi; Glomeromycota; Glomeromycetes; Glomerales; Glomeraceae. The record is from RNAcentral.